RNAcentral lists this ribosomal RNA (468 nucleotides) under uncultured bacterium. RNAcentral's name for it is "partial 16S ribosomal RNA". It matches the Rfam family "Bacterial small subunit ribosomal RNA", at positions 28 to 507 of the family's 1533-position model. The record is from RNAcentral.
GACGAACGCUGGCGGCGUGCUUAACACAUGCAAGUCGAACGGAAAGGCCCUGCUUUUGUGGGGUGCUCGAGUGGCGAACGGGUGAGUAACACGUGAGUAACCUGCAAUUGACUUUGGGAUAACUUCAGGAAACUGGGGCUAAUACCGGAUAGGAGCUCCUGCUGCAUGGUGGGGGUUGGAAAGUUUCGGUGGUUGGGGAUGGACUCGCGGCUUAUCAGCUUGUUGGUGGGGUAGUGGCUUACCAAGGCUUUGACGGGUAGCCGGCCCGAGAGGGUGACCGGCCACAUUGGGACUGAGAUACGGCCCAGACUCCUACGGGAGGCAGAAGUGGGGAAGAUUGCACAAUGGGCGGAAGCCUGAUGCAGCAACGCCGCGUGCGGGAUGACAGCCUUCGGGUUGUAAACCGCUUUCGCCUGUGACGAAGCGUGAGUGACGGUAAUGGGUAAAGAAGCACCGGCUAACUACGUG